UUACAAGGCUGUUGGUUUCUGUUUAUAUAAUCUUUUUAUCUAUUAAUCUUGUUUGUCUAUUCCUUCUUUUUUUUUUGGUUAGGUUUGAAUAUAAUGCUUCUGCUGACCUUGUUAAGGAGGUUCAAUUUGAGGAAGUUGAAGGGGGUGUUAGAACAAGAAUUGUGAGGAAGUGAGUUAGUUGCUGCAUGUAUUUUCCUUGAGUGAGACCCUUGUGGUAAGUUGUACUCUUCAACAUGUAAAAAGGAAAGAUUCAUUGGUCUGUGUGUGAGAUUCUGCUCAGCCUGUAGGCCACACCCAAAUUUAUGUAGCUUAUUUUUCCUUUUACACACUAAUAUAUUGUUUUGUCAUUCUUAUUCGAAAAAAUGGUUUUGUAUAAAAUUUAUAACU
This is a long non-coding RNA of Theobroma umbraticum, 387 nucleotides long. RefSeq lists it as uncharacterized. The record is from RefSeq and is a predicted model, not a curated record. NCBI's taxonomy places the organism in Eukaryota, Viridiplantae, Streptophyta, Magnoliopsida, Malvales, Malvaceae.